RNAcentral lists this ribosomal RNA (492 nucleotides) under uncultured bacterium. RNAcentral's name for it is "partial 16S ribosomal RNA". It matches the Rfam family "Bacterial small subunit ribosomal RNA", at positions 29 to 507 of the family's 1533-position model. The record is from RNAcentral.
AGUGAACGCUGGCGGUAGGCCUAACACAUGCAAGUCGAACGGCAGCACAGUAAGAGCUUGCUCUUACGGGUGGCGAGUGGCGGACGGGUGAGGAAUACAUCGGAAUCUACUUUUUCGUGGGGGAUAACGUAGGGAAACUUACGCUAAUACCGCAUACGACCUACGGGUGAAAGCAGGGGAUCUUCGGACCUUGCGCGGUUGAAUGAGCCGAUGUCGGAUUAGCUAGUUGGCGGGGUAAAGGCCCACCAAGGCGACGAUCCGUAGCUGGUCUGAGAGGAUGAUCAGCCACACUGGAACUGAGACACGGUCCAGACUCCUACGGGAGGCAGCAGUGUGGAAUAUUGGACAAAGGGCGCAAGCCUGAUCCAGCCAUACCGCGUGGGUGAAGAAGGCCUUCGGGUUGUAAAGCCCUUUUGUUGGGAAAGAAAAGCAGCAGGUUAAUACCCCGCUGUUCUGACGGUACCCAAAGAAUAAGCACCGGCUAACUUCGUG